AGUGAACGCUGGCGGUAGGCCUAACACAUGCAAGUCGAACGGCAGCACAGUAAGAGCUCGCUCUUACGGGUGGCGAGUGGCGGACGGGUGAGGAAUACAUCGGAAUCUACUUUUUCGUGGGGGAUAACGUAGGGAAACUUACGCUAAUACCGCAUACGACCUACGGGUGAAAGCAGAGGAUCUUCGGACCUUGCGCGAUUGAAUGAGACGACGCCGGAUUAGCUAGUUGGCGGGGUAAAGGCCCACCAAGGCGACGAUCCGUAGCUGGUCUGAGAGGAUGAUCAGCCACACUGGAACUGAGACACGGUCCAGACUCCUACGGGAGGCAGCAGUGGGGAAUAUUGGACAAUGGGCGAAAGCCUGAUCCAGCCAUACCGCGUGGGUGAAGAAGGCCUUCGGGUUGUAAAGCCCUUUUGUUGGGAAAGAAAAGCAGCAGGUUAAUACCUCGCUGUUCUGACGGUACCCAAAGAAUAAGCACCGGCUAACUUCGUG
RNAcentral lists this ribosomal RNA (492 nucleotides) under uncultured bacterium. RNAcentral's name for it is "partial 16S ribosomal RNA". It matches the Rfam family "Bacterial small subunit ribosomal RNA", at positions 29 to 507 of the family's 1533-position model. The record is from RNAcentral.